UAAUUUCUUUUAUCUUUAACUUUGGAACAUACAUGGUCACUCGAAUAGAUAUUAAGGAAGAUAUAGCAGAGAAGGAGCUGGCAUCUUCGUGCCCUUCCAACUGGAGGAAAUGGAAGCGAGACUGUUGUAUUUUCCCCUUGUAAACCAGCGAUAUGGGAGGACACCAUUAUUACAAAUUUGAAGUCUGACUGCGUGUUAUUGGCAAGAUACCUACGUGGAUGAUAUCGACAAGCUCGAUGGCCACAAUGAACCAGAUGUUGUCAACUACAUGGAGGACAUCUAUAAGUACUACAAGGCAGCACUGGCUAUUCUUUUCCCCAGGUUCUUAUUGAUCUCUUCUUUGCAUGAGCUUCUGAACACACAUCUAAUGCUUCUAA
This is a long non-coding RNA of Triticum urartu, 377 nucleotides long. RefSeq lists it as uncharacterized. Lineage: Eukaryota; Viridiplantae; Streptophyta; Magnoliopsida; Poales; Poaceae. The record is from RefSeq and is a predicted model, not a curated record.